This 329-nucleotide unclassified non-coding RNA is filed under the name soil metagenome. Its description in RNAcentral is "partial contains 5.8S ribosomal RNA, internal transcribed spacer 2, and large subunit ribosomal RNA". The stretch from base 1 to 120 matches the Rfam family "5.8S ribosomal RNA", at positions 35 to 154 of the family's 154-position model. The record is from RNAcentral.
GAUGAAGAACGUAGCGAAAUGCGAUAAGUAGUGUGAAUUGCAGAAUUCAGUGAAUCAUCGAAUCUUUGAACGCACAUUGGGCCCCUUGGUAUCCCGAGGGGCAUGCCUGUUCGAGCGUCAUUUCACCACUCAAGCCUGGCUUGGUGUUGGGCGACGUCCCCUUUAGGGACGCGCCUCGAAACGCUCGGCGGCGUGGCACCGGCUUUAAGCGUAGCAGAAUCUUUCGCUUUGGAAGUCGGGGCCCCGCCUGCCGGAAUACCUACUCGUAAGGUUGACCUCGGAUCAGGCAGGGAUACCCGCUGAACUUAAGCAUAUCAAUAAGCGGAGGA